CAGUCGCCGCGGUAAUACGAAGGGGGCUAGCGUUGUUCGGAUUAACUGGGCGUAAAGGGCGCGUAGGCGGGUUUUUAAGUCAGAGGUGAAAUCCCAAGGCUCAACCUUGGAACUGCCUUUGAUACUGGAAGUCUUGAGUCCGGGAGAGGUGAGUGGAACUGCGAGUGUAGAGGUGAAAUUCGUAGAUAUUCGCAAGAACACCAGUGGCGAAGGCGGCUCACUGGCCCGGUACUGACGCUGAGGCGCGAAAGCGUGGGGAGCAAACAGGAUUAGAUACCCGAGUAGUCCCUGUCUCUUAUAA
Molecule: ribosomal RNA, 301 nt
Filed under: uncultured bacterium
Lineage: Bacteria
Description: partial 16S ribosomal RNA
Rfam family: Bacterial small subunit ribosomal RNA
Source: RNAcentral